This 396-nucleotide ribosomal RNA is filed under the name uncultured bacterium. RNAcentral's name for it is "partial 16S ribosomal RNA". It matches the Rfam family "Bacterial small subunit ribosomal RNA", at positions 360 to 774 of the family's 1533-position model. The record is from RNAcentral.
AAUAUUGCACAAUGGAGGAAACUCUGAUGCAGCGACGCCUCGUGAGGGAAGCAGGUCUUCGGAUUGUAAACCCCUGUCUUUGGGGCAGAUAAUGACGGUACCCAAGGAGGAAGCCACGGCCAAAUACGUGCCAGCAGCCGCGGUAAUACGAAGGUAGCAAUCGUUUUCCGGAAUUACUGGGUGUAAAGGGAGCGUACGCGGGUACGCAAGUUGAAUGUUUAACCUAUCGGCUCAACCAUUAGUCGCGUUCAAAAAUGCGUAUCUUGAGUGAAGUAGAGGCAGGCGGAAUUCCUAGUGUAGCGGUGAAAUGCGUAGAUAUUAGGAGGAACACCAGUGGCGAAGGCGGCCUGCUGGGCUUUUACUGACGCUGAGGCUCGAAAGCAUGGGGAGCAAACA